This is a long non-coding RNA of Bactrocera neohumeralis, 409 nucleotides long. RefSeq lists it as uncharacterized. Lineage: Eukaryota; Metazoa; Arthropoda; Insecta; Diptera; Tephritidae. The transcript is spliced from 2 exons. The record is from RefSeq and is a predicted model, not a curated record.
GCGGUCAACAUUUAAAUGAAAUUAUCUUCAAAAAGUAAAUGUCAUGAACCAAUCUAACGUUUCAAAUAAAGAACCGAUGAGAUUUUGCAAAUUUUAUGCGUUUUUUUUUUAAAAAAAGUUAUCAAGCUCUUAAAAAAUCACCCGAUAUAAGUGAAAUUUUAAACGCGUUUUUCUCGAAACGACAUUUUUCAAAAUUGCUGGCGUCAUAACUCAACGAAAAAUUUACCGAUCGACUUCAAAUUAAAACUGACUACUCAUUCUGCCGGAAUCACGCCAGCAGUUGGGGCACUUUUUUUGGCGCCUCCGAAGACAGCCGAUAACUCCGUUAUUUUUCAACAUUUUUGUAAAAAAAAAAAUCUUUAAAUAUAGCUGAAAAUAUACCUUAUUACGUUCAGAGAAGUUCAAAAUA